Physeter macrocephalus (sperm whale) is the source of this 2163-nucleotide long non-coding RNA. RefSeq lists it as uncharacterized. NCBI's taxonomy places the organism in Eukaryota, Metazoa, Chordata, Mammalia, Artiodactyla, Physeteridae. The record is from RefSeq and is a predicted model, not a curated record. The transcript has 6 exons.
AUAAGUCAAUAGAAAAGUAAAUAAAAUUGAAAUAUUCUAAGAUCCUUGCAUUAUCCAGGAAAAGGGUAUAUUUUCUUUCGUUCUUUCUUUUUUUUUUUUUUGGCCAUGCAGCUUGUGGGAUCUCAAUUCCCUGACCAGGGAUCAAACCCGGGUCCCUGGCAGUGAGAGUGAUGAGUCCUAACCACUGGACUGCCAGGGAAUUCCCUAUUUUCUAGGGAAACUAAUAAGGUUAGGGAGCCAAAGAAGGGAUUCUGCCAGUUGCUGAGUUUAUCUGUUCCAAAGACACACUCAAGAACUGGGGAAAUAACUACCAUUUGGUUCUUAUCAGCUCCAUCAAGAAGUAAACUUGGCCUCCCUCCUCUGACUGGUGGCUCACAAUGGUCUUCUGGGUCUAAAGGGAUUAGUAAGAGCCAUUGCUUAAUAAUCUUGAAAUGAAUAGGGUGUGUUGGCGAUGGUUUACUUUAUUUAAUGCCUAAAUGACGACUAUCAGGACAAUAUUAUGACUGAAAUAGAGAGGAGUGACCAUCACCAAGUGAUCCUGGACUUGGAGCUGGAUGCAGGAACUGAUGAGACUUUGGAUCUCCCCUUUUGGGGAGGUUAACAUUACUUGGUGUCAGAAGGGGGAUCCGAAGAUGAACCCCUGAAGAAUUAAUGAUUCCUGGAAUCAUGCACAGUACCCACUUGAUCUCCUUGUGCUCCCCACUUCCUUUUGGUUCGGUUCAAAAGAUUCAAUUCCAGAUGAUACUAUAACAAGGAUACCAGCCGGUUGGCACAUGGACUACGUUGGAGCAAGCCGCCUUAUCAUUCCGUGGGAUCUCAUCUCCCUUCGUAAAUACACCCUGACAGAGAGCAGGCAUUGGGAACCCGGGACCCCUAUGACGCCCAGUCCAGCAGGAAGAAGCUAGGCAUGUUGAACAGCAGUUGCUGAAGUGAUUUUGACGAAAUGUGACCUUUGAAGACUGUGGCCACUGACCAAAGAAUCUGAACUACAGUAUCCAACAUUUUACAGGCUACAAAACAUAAGCUGGCCAGCAUUUAUUGCUUGUACUAACAGCUUGAGUCAGGUUUCCUAAGCCUACAGAGAAGACCUCUUACUGCUGCUAAUUUUACUAUCAGCAAAGAAAAGGGAAAUAGGAAACCGUAUGGAAUGGCUGAAUGAGAGCCUUUGUGAGAGCAGUAUGGACUCGGAUUAUCUGAAGAGAGGGCAACUUUUUUCUAAAACUAAAAAGGACUCAAUUUGCGUAGAAAUAAAGUGGGAAAAAAUGUAAUGUAGAAAAAGUUAUAAGCAGAGAUUCUGCUCUGGCCUCUCAGGAUGGCAUUGAUUUACAUAUUAAGGCAGUCACCAGGGAACUGUUAAAAACCCUCUAGGGAAAUUUCCAAUGUGAUGGAUAGAACUUUAAUAUUAAUAUAGGAUUCAUCAUGAUAAUGUAAGUCAUAGAUCUAAGUCUCCCUUCAUCAAAUGAAUAGUCCCUUUCCAGCCUAUUAUACAGGCAGCACAUGCUUUAAAUAGUGUCAUGUGGGAGACUUGAAGUCUUUCUUUAUCUGCAGUUUCUGAAGUUUUGUUCACAGGAAUAGUGACCCACCGGGUCAUCCAUCUUUAAUUACGUCAUCUAGACCAUUUGCAUUUUCCCCUUUUUAUUAAUAUUUAGUGUUCCUUAAAAUAUACUUCCAUCGUACUUUUUUUCACAAAUAGAAAAAGCAUAAUUCAACACAUACUAUUUCAUACAUGCAGUGAGUAUGAAGGGAAGAUCUGAUUCUUAAUCUAUUCGUUGAUCAUUAUACAAGGAAAAAAGUGAUUUAUGGGUUGCUAUUUGAUUUAGUUAUCUAGUACAUAAUUAUCAACCAUAGGCAUGUGUAUUGUUCACUUUACUCUGGGUUUCCUAGUCUUCUAACACUGACACCCCACAAAAUGGUGGCUGAGUCUCUCUAGAAUCCUGUAAGACAAUGACAAUCUUUUUGGAAUGAGAAUGAUUGCAGUGUUGAUACCAAUAUAAUAAAUGCCAGUAAUAAUAAAUGUUAAGAUUCAUCUGCUGCUUUUUUCAGCAGAAAUUUGAAUAUUCAUUAGUGGAGCAUAUAAUCACCUUUUCUUACCUUAGCCCAAAACACGCAUGAAAAUAAAUUCAUAAGUACAGACUAUGAAUACAGACAUAAAUUGUGUACACA